ACAUGCAGUCGAACGCUUUUUCUUUCACCGGAGCUUGCUCCAUCGAAAGAAAAAGAGUGGCGAUCGGGUGAGUAACACGUGGGUAACCUGCCCAUCAGAAGGGGAUAACACUUGGAAACAGGUGCUAAUACCGUAUAACACUAUUUUCCGCAUGGAAGAAAGUUGAAAGGCGCUUUUGCGUCACUGAUGGAUGGACCCGCGGUGCAUUAGCUAGUUGGUGAGGUAACGGCUCACCAAGGCAACGAUGCAUAGCCGACCUGAGAGGGUGAUCGGCCACACUGGGACUGAGACACGGCCCAGACUCCUACGGGAGGCAGCAGUAGGGAAUCUUCGGCAAUGGACGAAAGUCUGACCGAGCAACGCCGCGUGAGUGAAGAAGGUUUUCGGAUCGUAAAACUCUGUUGUUAGAGAAGAACAAGGAUGAGAGUAGAACGUUCAUCCCUUGACGGUAUCUAACCAGAAAGCCACGGCUAACUACGUGCCAGCAGCCGCGGUAAUACGUAGGUGGCAAGCGUUGUCCGGAUUUAUUGGGCGUAAAGCGAGCGCAGGCGGUUUCUUAAGUCUGAUGUGAAAGCCCCCGGCUCAACCGGGAAUC
RNAcentral lists this ribosomal RNA (595 nucleotides) under uncultured bacterium. RNAcentral's name for it is "bacterial SSU rRNA". It matches the Rfam family "Bacterial small subunit ribosomal RNA", at positions 53 to 621 of the family's 1533-position model. The record is from RNAcentral.